Molecule: ribosomal RNA, 461 nt
Filed under: uncultured bacterium
Lineage: Bacteria
Description: bacterial SSU rRNA
Rfam family: Bacterial small subunit ribosomal RNA
Source: RNAcentral
UUACGGGAGGCAGCAGUGGGGAAUAUUGGUCAAUGGACGAAAGUCUGAACCAGCCAUGCCGCGUGAAGGAUUAAGGCCCUCUGGGUUGUAAACUUCUUUUAUAUGGGACGAAAAAAGGGAAUUCUUUCUCACUUGACGGUACCAUAGGAAUAAGCACCGGCUAACUCCGUGCCAGCAGCCGCGGUAAUACGGAGGGUGCAAGCGUUAUCCGGAUUUACUGGGUUUAAAGGGAGCGUAGGUGGGCAGGUAAGUCAGUGGUGAAAUCACUGGGCUUAACCCGGAAACUGCCAUUGAUACUAUUUGUCUUGAAUUAUCUGGAGGUAAGCGGAAUAUGUCAUGUAGCGGUGAAAUGCUUAGAUAUGACAUAGAACACCCAUUGCGAAGGCAGCUUACUACGGAUAUAUUGACACUGAGGCUCGAAAGCGUGGGGAUCAAACAGGAUUAGAUACCCCGGUAGUCCC